CACGUGGGCAAUCUGCCCUGCACUCUGGGACAAGCCCUGGAAACGGGGUCUAAUACCGGAUGACACUUCCUUCCGCAUGGGAGGAGGUUGAAAGCUCCGGCGGUGCAGGAUGAGCCCGCGGCCUAUCAGCUUGUUGGUGGGGUGAUGGCCUACCAAGGCGACGACGGGUAGCCGGCCUGAGAGGGCGACCGGCCACACUGGGACUGAGACACGGCCCAGACUCCUACGGGAGGCAGCAGUGGGGAAUAUUGCACAAUGGGCGAAAGCCUGAUGCAGCGACGCCGCGUGAGGGAUGACGGCCUUCGGGUUGUAAACCUCUUUCAGCAGGGAAGAAGCGAAAGUGACGGUACCUGCAGAAGAAGCGCCGGCUAACUACGUGCCAGCAGCCGCGGUAAUACGUAGGGCGCAAGCGUUGUCCGGAAUUAUUGGGCGUAAAGAGCUCGUAGGCGGCUUGUCACGUCGGAUGUGAAAGCCCGGGGCUUAACCCCGGGUCUGCAUUCGAUACGGGCAGGCUAGAGUGUGGUAGGGGAGAUCGGAAUUCCUGGUGUAGCGGUGAAAUGCGCAGAUAUCAGGAGGAACACCGGUGGCGAAGGCGGAUCUCUGGGCCAUUACUGACGCUGAGGAGCGAAAGCGUGGGGAGCGAACAGGAUUAGAUACCCUGGUAGUCCACGCCGUAAACGUUGGGAACUAGGUGUUGGCGACAUUCCACGUCGUCGGUGCCGCAGCUAACGCAUUAAGUUCCCCGCCUG
RNAcentral lists this ribosomal RNA (749 nucleotides) under Streptomyces sp. RNAcentral describes it as "bacterial SSU rRNA". It matches the Rfam family "Bacterial small subunit ribosomal RNA", at positions 114 to 875 of the family's 1533-position model. The record is from RNAcentral. Lineage: Bacteria; Bacillati; Actinomycetota; Actinomycetes; Kitasatosporales; Streptomycetaceae.